GGCUGGGGGAUGUAGCUCAGUGGU
RNAcentral lists this non-coding RNA (24 nucleotides) under Macaca fascicularis (crab-eating macaque). The record is from RNAcentral. Lineage: Eukaryota; Metazoa; Chordata; Mammalia; Primates; Cercopithecidae. RNAcentral also lists the same sequence under 4 other names.